RNAcentral lists this ribosomal RNA (253 nucleotides) under uncultured bacterium. Its description in RNAcentral is "partial 16S ribosomal RNA". It matches the Rfam family "Bacterial small subunit ribosomal RNA", at positions 524 to 776 of the family's 1533-position model. The record is from RNAcentral.
UACGUAGGGUGCAAGCGUUGUCCGGAAUUAUUGGGCGUAAAGAGCUCGUAGGCGGUUUGUCGCGUCGGCUGUGAAAACUCGGGGCUCAACCCCGAGCCUGCAGUCGAUACGGGCAAACUAGAGUGUGGUAGGGGAGAUCGGAAUUCCUGGUGUAGCGGUGAAAUGCGCAGAUAUCAGGAGGAACACCGGUGGCGAAGGCGGAUCUCUGGGCCUUACCUGACGCUGAGGCGCGAAAGCUAGGGGAGCGAACAGG